Molecule: long non-coding RNA, 2569 nt
Organism: Esox lucius (northern pike)
Lineage: Eukaryota; Metazoa; Chordata; Actinopteri; Esociformes; Esocidae
Source: Ensembl
CAGAGGUUAGAGUACGUAUUUACCACCUUUGGCUUUUUGGUUGUGUGCAUGAGUUUACCUUGCCUGGGAUACUGAACCAAAGUUGUUAUAUCAAUCCUUGUUACAUUGUGUGCUGGAUAUUAAUGGAAAUAUGUGUAGAAUAUAGGUCUAAGUCUCUGUCACCAUGGCACCCAUGCAUAUUAUGGCUUAAGUUUGUGAUGUGCAAAUGUUAUUUUUAUUUUUAUAUCACACAAGGGAAUCGGCGCACAAGACUGAACAGAGAAGUGUUAGCACAAUGAUCUAUUUUGGGAGAAUGGAAAAUGCAGAAAAAAAAUUACGUUGACUGUCAAAAUGGGCUCAACAUAAUGUUGUACGGGAAGAAAAUGGAAUCUAAAGUUAAAUGUCGAGCCAGUUAAAGACCCGAUGGGAAGUGAUGGUUGCUAUGGCAGAGGAGGUCAGAAGGCCAAUGAGGGAGAGCUUGGUUGGUUGCAGUGAGCGAGCGGAGAGCGGAGGGCUGCUGAAAGAAUGCUGGCUAGAGGUCAGUUCUGGGUUGACUUAAUGUUCGUUCCAUUGCGCAGGGCUAACUCCAUCAAGCCCAGCUGAAGUGUUUGAAAUUGUAAAUAUUAUUUGAACCCGGGACUGCAAAGGUGAGAUGGAGAUGUAGAAAGCAUCGGGGUUGGUAACGUUUCGAAACUGAGGGCGGCAGAACGGCGGGAUGCCUUUUCUAAUGUCGUUGAGACUAAAUGAACAGCAUGUUGGUACUGGGCAGGUUGGUGGUCACUGUGGGUGGGAGUUACAGGGACAUUCCUAACUCUAACGCACGUUGUUGUCUCGUUGUUGUCCUGAACAGCACAGGAAUGCUACAGCGUACACCUGGGAGGGAUUUCUAUGAAAUGGACUUCAUUUGUUAACACUGUCUCCAUUUGUCUUCUGAAACGUGUGUUCACAGGCAUCACACCACCAGAAAGGGAUAUCUGAUGUGUAGUAAGAUAACUAAUUGGGUUUAUUGCUUCUGUGUGUUUGCUGCUUAAUUUACCACCUGUUUUAUUUCACGUAGCCAAUGAAUAUGAUUAGUCUAGCUCUCUGUUAUUUCUCCUCAUAGAGUGGGCACAUCAGACCUGCUUGUGUUUUAGUGAAAGACUCCCAUUCUUGUCAUGCCAUAGUACUUGCAUUUUAAGUGAUCAUUUUAUUUUUAUGUUAUUAUUGAACUUUUUACAUGGCUGUAGUAGGUAUAUACCAUAUUGUGCUAUUUUGAAGAUUGUUGCAAUAAUUCUUGUGUACGUUUUUAUCCGUGCAAGUGUUUUUAUGAUUUGUUAUUAGGCCUCAUUUCUAUUUUGAUUUGGAACCGUGAGUUGCUGUACAGUUAUUUCAGGUGAUCCUAGGAAGGUGUGUGUAGCUGUGUAAAGUGUUCAGGCACUGUUAAUAAUAAUAAGGUGGAAAGGCUAGACGCGACUACGUGGGAGCUCUUGUAGGCAGGUAGCUCAUCCGGGUGCGUUUCAGGCCCAGGUUGGCUCCCCACACCGAACCUGAAAUGCCCUUUUGGUACUUUACCAAAAAGCCACGCGCUCCCUCCAGCCGGCUCCACCAUGCAAACCUUGGGUUCCUGGCAGACAAAGAUGUGAUGCGUCUUAUGUACAGUAUACUUGGCUGGUUACAUAAUGCUUCUUUCGGUUCUGUGCUCUAUUUCCCUUUGUUCAAUGCGUCCUGUGGGCCUAGCACACCAAUAAGGGAGAUGCUUUUCCACACAAGAGUUUGGCCCCUUUAAAAAGAGGCAGACUACUGAAACAUUCCAAUGCAGAGGGAAUCUGACAUCGAUUCUACACCCCUUAUAGCUCUGUGAUGAUGGGACUGCUUUUUCCUUUGGGGACUUUUCUUUCUUCCCGCCAAAGAAAUUAAACACGUUGGUAAAGUGCAGUACGAACCCAAACGAUCCCCAUGUGGUCUGGCAAUAACUUAUUGUACUUUUACAGCUCUUUAAUUGUGCUUUGAGUACUGUUGAAGGAUUCUAAGUGAGUUUUUGUGUGUAAGCUGUGCAGAUAUAGUACUUUCAAAAGACAUACAUUAUGUAUGCACAACACAUACACAUGAAUAAUUAAAAUUGCCACAGUAUCUGCUUGUGGUCAUGCUAUUUUCAGGAUUUUACUGCCAACUGCAGUCCACCAUUCUGAAAACCAUAUAAUUUGAAAAAACAAUAAUCUUUAUUUAUCACAUUUUGCCCCCUCAAUGUUACAGUUGAAUCUCAAAUUUCUCUUCAACCUAUUUUGUGUUUUUUUUUAUUUUUACAGUGUUAAAGUUAGAUUUUAGCUUAAUUCUUGUUGUGAACAAGUUAAGAAAAAAAAAACAUCUUAUAGGUUAGUGUGCCAUGGAAUUACCCAUAGAGUUAAAGGAAUUAAAAGAGUACCAAUAAUACCUUUAAAAUAUAGGUCACUAGCACAAAAUGAAUGUAAUCUGUGACCUGCUUCAUCUGAAAUGCUUUAGAUAUUUCUGCUUGAGCGAUCAUUAGUUAAAGUAAUAAUGAUUUAAUUUAUACACAAAUUGGUGCCAUGCAAGAUGCAAUAAGUUUGUGAUUUCAUCACAACUUGACUCAACA